Molecule: long non-coding RNA, 319 nt
Filed under: Callithrix jacchus (white-tufted-ear marmoset)
Lineage: Eukaryota; Metazoa; Chordata; Mammalia; Primates; Cebidae
Description: lncRNA (ENSCJAG00000071181.1)
Source: RNAcentral
AUGACUUACACAAAAUUAUCGAGUGAAUCUGAUGCUUGGCAUGAGAAUUAUAUGGUAUCCUUCAAGAAGGGUAGCAUAAAACAAUUUUCAAUAGCUAUUACUCGGCAUGCUCUUUCACCAAGAUUAUUAUUGGAACAAUAUUGUUAGGAGGCAUUAGUGCAACAUGCCAUAUGCUGAAAACUAUUUGUUGAUUUAAAAUAUAAGGACUGAGUUUCGAAAGAAAGAUUUUGGUGUGCAUGAAGUUACACACACUAUUGCAUUUUCCCCACAAUUACCUAGUCAUGCUACAGACUAUCAACGACAUAAUUUUUUCUCUUUG